CCGGCGAGCUUGCGGGCGGGGGUGUGGGGGGAGGCCGCCGCUCUUAUCUGGGUCACUGGGGUUAGAGGGAGCAGCUGAUAGAAACAGAGGAGCUGAGCUCCCGCUGCUGCAGAGAUAGAGCCGCGAUAUGGGCCAAGCAGGCACCGAGCUGGAGGAAGGGCGGGAGGGAGGGAAAGAGGGAGGAGGAGGCGGCGGCUCGUUCCGGCUCCCGAGCCGAGCCCAGGUGCGCUGUGGUUUCCCUGCGCUCAGCGCUGUGCUCGGCGGCCCCCCUUCCCUCGCUCCCCAUCCCCCGUCCUCCUCCCCGUCUCCCUCCAACGUUUAACCCUUUCCCACCUCCGCAGGGCUGGAGGCUGAGGCGUGCGUUGGCCCGGCCGCGUCCCCUGCGGUUCCCCACUCCCUCCGUGGCAGAGACUGAUCACGGUGGGGGAGAAGCGGGGGGGCCCGGGGGGUUUGGCCUUGUGCUGCCGAGCACCGCCCUCGGGCAGCUCCCGGGACCCGGCUUUGUACACACACACACACUCACGCACGCACACACACACCCAGCUGCGCUGAGCCGAGCCAGCCCCGGGCCAGCCACCGCCUGCCGCCGCCGCUGCCCGUGCGGCCGAUCUCGGUUACAGCCAGCCACCCAGCGGGGUUGGCUGCUGCAGCCGCCGCCUUCCUCCUCCUCCCCGGUCCCCGCCGCCCUUUUCCUUCCUGCUCGGGCUGAGCUGCCCCGGAGCUCCCCUGGCUCGCCGGCGGCGGCCAGUCCCCGCUCCCGGGCCGCUGCCGGCGGGGAGGCGGAUGCGGAGCGCCCGGGUAGGGGAAGGGCUCUCCGAGCGCCCCCAUCUCGCGCCCAGCCCUUUAAUCAAUUUCACCCUAUUAAUUAUUAAUUUUACGCCAGUCAAGCUUGCCCAGGAAGAGCGAGGAGGGGGAGGGGAGGCUGAUGUCAGUCGGAGGCGGCGGCGGGGCCGUGUGCCAGGCUCCGCGCACAGCCCCGGCCCAGCAAGUUUCGGCUUCGCUGGCUCGGGCAGCUCCGUUCGCCGAGAACCGGGGGAGGCGGCGAUUCCCAUUCCGGACUCGAAAGCGAUGGUGCAGCGAGCUGCCUCCUUAUCUCGCCCUUCGCUGCUACUUUAACUCCUUCCGCCAGGCCCAGCACAGGGCUCCAAAGAUUUAACCCUUUGCUUGAGGCUUGAGGUGGGUGAAGCAACAAAAGCAGACCGUGAAAGCCUUGGACUGAAAAAAAAACCACCAAAAACAACCAAAAAACGCACCUCAACACAAGCUCAGCGAGAAGUCAGUAAAACGCACCGUUACACACACACAGCGACGUGGUUUGGCUUUAGGGAAGACAAGGCGGGGGGGGGGAAGCGCGAGAGAGACGUAGCCUCGCUCUCCACCGCCCCCCGGUUCUGCCAGCCCCUCGCCUGGUGCCUGCAGUUGCACUCUGAGUAAAUAGUUCCCACACAUGGUCCACAUUUUGCACAGCAGCAGCGUGUUUCCUCUCGGUCUCUCAUUGCUGCUCUCCGAGCAAAGGAAAUAAAAGAGAGGGAGAGAGCUUUAGAGGAAGUUAAAAAUCAGA
Haemorhous mexicanus (house finch) is the source of this 1561-nucleotide long non-coding RNA. RefSeq lists it as uncharacterized. The transcript has 3 exons. NCBI's taxonomy places the organism in Eukaryota, Metazoa, Chordata, Aves, Passeriformes, Fringillidae. The record is from RefSeq and is a predicted model, not a curated record.